UACGGAAGGCAGCAGUGGGGAAUAUUGCACAAUGGGCGAAAGCCUGAUGCAGCUAUGCCGCGUGUAUGAAGAAGGCCUUAGGGUUGUAAAGUACUUUCAUCGGGGAGGAAAAACAAAACUAAUAAUUUUAUUUCUUGACGUUACCCGAAAAAGAAGCACCGGCUAACUCCGUGCCAGCAGCCGCGGUAAUACGGAGGGUGCUAGCGUUAAUCAGAAUUACUGGGCGUAAAGAGCACGUAGGUGGUUUUUUUAAGUCAGAUGUGAAAUCCCUGGGCUUAACCUGGAACUGCAUUUUGAAACUGAAAUACUAGAGUAUCGUAGAGGGAGGUAGAAUUCUAGGUGUAGCGGUGAAAUGCGUAGAUAUCUGGAGGAAUACCUGUGGCGAAAGCGGCCUCCUAAACGAAUACUGACACUGAGGUGCGAAAGCGUGGGGAGCAAACGAGGGAUUAGGAUACC
This 456-nucleotide ribosomal RNA is filed under the name uncultured bacterium. RNAcentral describes it as "bacterial SSU rRNA". It matches the Rfam family "Bacterial small subunit ribosomal RNA", at positions 340 to 786 of the family's 1533-position model. The record is from RNAcentral.